GUCAGUUUGAGUUUGGGUGGCACCUUCACUGCUGUUUUUCUGUGCUCUGCCGAAGGUCAUUGUCUCUGCUUUGCAGCCUCCUUUCCCUCACUAGCUGCUGCUCUACCUCUUUAGGGUCCUAUACACUAACCCAUCCUACAACAGCUGAUCUGCAAUCUCAGUCGUGGGACUGCGCGUGGCACCACACAGCAGAUACGAAUGCCGCAGCACGGUGACCGUUACAUCCGUAUCUAUCGGGCCUGUAGUUAUUGUAUAUCAUUUCUUUGUGGAAUGUCAUUAACAAAGCGCAGAUAAAAGCGUCAAUUAGGCGCUGAGCGUGUCUUUAGCUCGGGAUAUUGCUUUGGAAAUGUAGCGAGGCUUUCAAAGUCAACACACUUGUCGUUUGAGCAGGACUUCAGUCUUGUUUCUAUGGUGAUGCAACACAGUAGAUAGGGUUUUCCUUCAUCUUCUGUUCCUUGUCUUGUCAGUGGGGUUUCUAUAACAAAUGGGACUGUUUGCAGGUAUUCAGCAGGUGUGGAAAGUACACCAGUGAUGAGAUAUUCCUUAUCGACCGCAGAGCUGAUGAUUGUGUUCCACUGGCGCCACGAAGUCCCGUGAGAGUGACGACGCUGCCUGGUGUCAUACGGGCCGAGCUUUGGACCAAUACCAGCGACACUAUCAGAACCGAAUCGCACAUGGUUAACCAUACCCUCACCAUCACCCCCUGGCGCUCUAGAAAGGUCAUGCCAAUUAUCCACAUGAACCAGGGAGUCACAGGAGAAAAAUAUUGCUUCCGAAUAUCCGGACAAGAGGAGAUAAAUUGAAUACAUUAGGUCUACUGCCACGACGGAGAGAUCUUGCUUUUCCUCUCACCCUCUUAUUGUACAACGCUCCUCGGUGGCCCACGAUCAGCAG
This is a long non-coding RNA of Xiphias gladius (swordfish), 894 nucleotides long. RefSeq lists it as uncharacterized. The record is from RefSeq and is a predicted model, not a curated record. NCBI's taxonomy places the organism in Eukaryota, Metazoa, Chordata, Actinopteri, Istiophoriformes, Xiphiidae. The transcript is spliced from 3 exons.